UGCUCCACCACGCUGCUCCACUGCGGGUUGGUGGAGGUGUUUUUACGGCUAAUAGCCGGGACAACGGCUUAACGUGCCCUCCGAAGUACGGAAUCAUCUAUAUUUUCGGACAAUCGGGUGAUUCAAGCCUGAAAAGUCCUUACCAAACAAAGGACAGUCUCACAAAGUGAUUUCGACAAUGUCCCGAUCGGGAAUCGAAAACGGACGUCCAAAUCGUGAGCCUAACGCUCUAACCACUUGACCACAGAGGCUAUUGUCAAUAAGACACAAAUAAUUUUGGCAAAAAAUUGCAGAUACGUCAAUUUGCAAAGUCAGUCACGAUAUGUUUAAAAGAUGAUUUACGUCGGUUGUACUCGAAGGUAGAUGUAAUCAUUUUUGUGUCAGAUAAUGAAACAUUCUGCAUGCGCUACAGUUGCCAUAUGAAUACUAUAAUAAUGUACACUAAAUACUAUACACUAGUAUAAAAAAAAUGCCUCCCCUUUUAAAGUUUCAUGCAUCAUGAUCUCCCUAGCAUUAUUC
This is a long non-coding RNA of Pectinophora gossypiella (pink bollworm), 519 nucleotides long. RefSeq lists it as uncharacterized. The record is from RefSeq and is a predicted model, not a curated record. The transcript is spliced from 2 exons. Lineage: Eukaryota; Metazoa; Arthropoda; Insecta; Lepidoptera; Gelechiidae.